GCAACGAUAGCUUAAAUAAAAGCAUUGGUCUUGUAAGCCAAAGAUGAAUUCAAAUAUUCUCGUUGUC
This 67-nucleotide transfer RNA is filed under the name Conus ventricosus. RNAcentral describes it as "tRNA-Thr". It matches the Rfam family "tRNA". From Rfam's summary of the family: Transfer RNA (tRNA) molecules are approximately 80 nucleotides in length. Their secondary structure includes four short double-helical elements and three loops (D, anti-codon, and T loops). Lineage: Eukaryota; Metazoa; Mollusca; Gastropoda; Neogastropoda; Conidae. The record is from RNAcentral.